AUGCCGAUGCCCACCAGCGGUGGCGGGCUCGAUCUGGAUAUUCAUCCUCGUGCCCAGCCGCCGCUCCUCGGCAUAUUCCUCUCCCCGCACCGCCGCUCGCCUCCGUCGCGUCACCCGCACUGCCGCUCACCUCCGCCUCGUCAGCGCCUUCUGCUGCUACUGCCGCCGAGGUUUGAUUGCUGGACGUGGUGCACUGGAUCCGGCAGGCGGUGGUGCUCUGGGGCGUCGCCCCCCUCGUCAGCGCCUUCUCGAUCGUCCUGUACACUCACAAUUAUUGUACAGAUUGAUGCUACGGCUAUACUACAGGUACACACACAUUUCUGA
RNAcentral lists this ribosomal RNA (324 nucleotides) under Triticum aestivum (bread wheat). Its description in RNAcentral is "partial small subunit ribosomal RNA". The record is from RNAcentral. Lineage: Eukaryota; Viridiplantae; Streptophyta; Magnoliopsida; Poales; Poaceae.